UCGAAGACAAGCACGACGUCGUCCGCGA
This 28-nucleotide small RNA is filed under the name Bombyx mori (domestic silkworm). RNAcentral describes it as "ovarian small RNA-28184". Lineage: Eukaryota; Metazoa; Arthropoda; Insecta; Lepidoptera; Bombycidae. The record is from RNAcentral.